Molecule: ribosomal RNA, 403 nt
Filed under: bacterium
Lineage: Bacteria
Description: partial 16S ribosomal RNA
Rfam family: Bacterial small subunit ribosomal RNA
Source: RNAcentral
UGGGGAAUAUUGCACAAUGGAGGGAACUCUGAUGCAGCGACGCCGCGUGAACGAGGAAGGCUUUCGCGUCGUAAAGUUCUUUUAUAUGGGAAGAUAAUGACGGUACCAUAAGAAAAAGCCCCGGCUAACUACGUGCCAGCAGCCGCGGUAAUACGUAGGGGGCUAGCGUUGUCCGGAAUCACUGGGCGUAAAGGGUUCGCAGGCGGAAAUGCAAGUCAGGUGUAAAAGGCAGUAGCUUAACUACUGUAAGCAUUUGAAACUGCAUAUCUUGAGAAGAGUAGAGGUAAGUGGAAUUUUUAGUGUAGCGGUGAAAUGCGUAGAUAUUAAAAAGAAUACCGGUGGCGAAGGCGACUUACUGGGCUCAUUCUGACGCUGAGGAACGAAAGCGUGGGUAGCAAACAGG